Molecule: long non-coding RNA, 2060 nt
Organism: Oncorhynchus masou masou (cherry salmon)
Lineage: Eukaryota; Metazoa; Chordata; Actinopteri; Salmoniformes; Salmonidae
Exons: 2
Source: RefSeq, a predicted model, not a curated record
CCCUAUAUAGUGCACUACUUUUAACCAGAGCCCUAUGGGGGCUUCUGCCCUUCUGGUCUAAAGUAGUGCACUACACUAUAUAUCAGUGCACCAUAAGAUGUGAGACACACUAUAUGACCUAUACAGUAUGUCUUCCUAUGGGCCCUGGUCAGAAAUAGUGCACUAUAUAGGGAAUAGGGUGUAUAGGUAGUGCACUAUAUAUGGAAUAGGGUGUAUACGUAGUGCACUAUAUAGGGAAUAGGGUGUAUAUGUAGUGCACUAUAUAUGGAAUAGGGUCUAUAGGUAGUGCACUAUAUAUGGAAUAGGGUGUAUAGGUAGUGCACUAUAUAUGAAAUAGGGUGUAUAGGUAGUGCACUAUAUAGAUAAUAGGGUGUAUAGGUAGUGCACUAAAUAUGGAAUAGGGUGUAUAGGUAGUGCACUAUAUAGGGAAUAGGGUGUUUCGGUAGUGCACUAUAUUUGGAAUAGGGUGUAUACGUAGUGCACUAUAUAUGGAAUAGGGUGUAUACGUAGUGCACUAUAUAUGGAAUAGGGUGUAUACGUAGUGCACCAUAUAGGGAAUAGGGUGUAUAGGUAGUGCACUAUAUCGGGUCUAUAGGUAGUGCACUAUAUAGGGAAUAGGGUGUAUAGGUAGUGCACUAUAUAUGGAAUAGGGUGUAUAGGUAGUGCACUAUAUAGGGUCUAUAGGUAGUGCACUAUAUAGGGUCUAUAGGUAGUGCACGAUAUAUGGAAUAGGGUGUUUAGGUAGUGCACUAUAUAGGGAAUAGGGUGUUUAGGUAGUGCACUUCUAUAGACCAGAGCCCUAUGGCACCCUAUAUAGUGCACUACUUUAGACCAGAGCCCUAUGGCACCCUAUUCCCUAUAUAGUGCACUACUUUUAACCAGAGCCCUAUGGGGGCUUCUGCCCUUCUGGUCUAAAGUAGUGCACUGCACUAUAUAUCAGUGCACUAUAAGAUGUGAGACACACUAUAUGACCUAUACAGUAUGUCUUCCUAUGGGCCCUGGUCAAAAAUAGUGCACUAUAUAGGGAAUAGGGUGUAUAGGUAGUGCACUAUAUAUGGAAUAGGGUGUAUAGGUAGUGCACUUCUAUAGACCAGAGCCCUAUGGCACCCUAUAUAGUGCACUACUUUAGACCAGAGCCCCUAUGGCACCCUAUUCCCUAUAUAGUGCACUACUUUUAACCAGAGCCCUAUGGGGGCUUCUGCCCUUCUGGUCUAAAGUAGUGCACUACACUAUAUAUCAGUGCACUAUAAGAUGUGAGACACACUAUAUGACCUAUACAGUAUGUCUUCCUAUGGGCCCUGGUCAAAAAUAGUGCACUAAAUAGGGAAUAGGGUGUAUAGGUAGUGCACUAUAUAGGGUCUAUAGGUAGUGCACUAUAUAUGGAAUAGGGUGUUUAGGUAGUGCACUAUAUAGGGUGUAUAGGUAGUGCACUAUACAGGGUCUAUAGGUAGUGCACUAUAUAGGGAAUAGGGUGUAUAGGUAGUGCACUAUAUAGGGAAUAGGGUGUUUAGGUAGUGCACUAUAUAGGGAAUAGGGUGUUUAGGUAGUGCACUAUAUAUGGAAUAGGGUGUAUAGGUAGUGCACUAUAUAUGGAAUAGGGUGUAUAGGUAGUAGUGCACUAUAUAGGGUGUAUAGGUAGUGCACUAUAUAGGGAAUAGGGUGUAUAGGUUGUGCACUAUAUAUGGAAUAGGGUGUAUAGGUAGUGCACUAUAUAGGGUCUAUAGGUAGUGCACUAUAUAGGGAAUAGGGUGUAUAGGUAGCGCACUAUAUAUGGAAUAGGGUGUAUAGGUAGUGCACUAUAUAUGGAAUAGGGUGUAUAGGUAGUGCACUAUAUAGGGUGUAUAGGUAGUGCACUAUAUAGGGAAUAGGGUGUAUAGGUAGUGCACUAUAUAUGGAUUAGGGUGUAUAGGUAGUGCACUAUAUAGGGUGUAUAGGUAGUGCAGAGCAGCGAGGGAGGAGGCUGACUGUAUGUUCGACAGGUUAAUUGUUACUGUGAUGUGUUAUUGAUGUGUGAAUCCUAGGGCUCCUCUCAAAAUGAUACAACUAAAUAAUACACUACU